GGAAAAAAUUGGAUUUAAUUUCAAAACAAAUCAUUAUUUUUAGGGUUUUGUUUUUAUUUGUGUUUUUUGUUCUAUCAGUUCAUUAUUUUGUACCAUUGCUUCAGGAUUUCUCAUAAUAAUGGUUAUUAUAUAAGGGUUUGUUGUAUUUGGUUUAAAAAUUGGAUUUUUACUGUUGUGAACCGUUAAGGUUUGGUUUUUCUGGGUUAAUAUGAGUAGAAAUUUGUAUAUCUGGGUUUGAGUUUUGUUUUGGCUUCAAGUAAUGUUAUUUUGUAUAGUGGGUUUGUUUUUGUUUUUUGAAAUCGAGUAGAAAGAUCCAUAUCAACAUCAAGUUCGUCUCUUUGCUUGUUAACUUGAAGAAGAUGAAAGAGAUGAACAGUUCCUCAAAUUAAGCUCAAGGACCUUGCCAAAAUGGGUCCUGCUUUCUGCGCCGGCAUUGGCUGCAGCAUUGGUGUUAGCGUUGGUCUUGUUGGAAGUACACAAACGAGCAAAAUAAACGAAACCCUUGAUGGGUUCUUUUGAAUUACGGCUUAUGGUCCAACUUUGACUGCGAAUAUGGCAUUUGUAAGAGCGGUUUCACAUACUGGGAUGUAUCUUUCUACCAUUGAGCAUAGACCACGGGCUUUAACUGGUGAUUAGCCAUAUAUAUAUACUAUGGGGACUAUACAACAAGAAGGUUUUUUAUUCAGGGCCAUUAGACGUAACAAAAUCCCUGAUAUGAACUUGAUAUUUUGCAUGUACUAAUUUAUUAAAUGUACACCAAUUGAAGCCAAAUUACAUUUCAUACUUGCUCAUGUUCUGCCACCCAAUUUUGCCUAUUGUUAUACCUAUAUAGUUCAUCUUAAAGUGGAUUAUUUUUGCAAUUUCCUGCUCUAAAAGAUAUUAAUAAUUGGAACAGGGUUGUGCCUGAUGGUCCUUAAGAUACCUAAUGAUCUUCCAAUCACCAUGAAGCUGGUGUUGAAGGACAAGGUUGUUUCCAAGACUGGUCGUCACUAGCAUGCGUCACCUUGAGAGCAAAUAUAGCAGCUGUUUCAUGCAUGGGGGUGUCUCCAACAAUAGUUGUUUAUAUUAAAGGUGUGGUUUUCCCUCUGAUGCAUUUUUAAGGGAGAAUGAUCUGAUGGCCUAGUACAUAUGGGAAUUGAAGAUGAUUUUUGUUGGUAGAUUUUCUUUUUUGAAUGAUUGGAAAGUAUUAAUUAUUGUUAGUUAAUUUUCCAAUCAUUUAGGUAUUGUAUAUGACGUAAAGUGGUAUUAUAUAUGAUGUAAAGAAUGAUGGCUGCAAUUACCUCCAUUCUACUUCCUUUUACUAA
Molecule: long non-coding RNA, 1304 nt
Organism: Pistacia vera
Lineage: Eukaryota; Viridiplantae; Streptophyta; Magnoliopsida; Sapindales; Anacardiaceae
Exons: 2
Source: RefSeq, a predicted model, not a curated record